RNAcentral lists this long non-coding RNA (1580 nucleotides) under Musa acuminata (dwarf banana). RNAcentral describes it as "long non-coding RNA (MACU_LNC005501)". Lineage: Eukaryota; Viridiplantae; Streptophyta; Magnoliopsida; Zingiberales; Musaceae. The record is from RNAcentral.
GGACUUUCUGUAGUUUUAUGGUCAACCAAUUGCCCACCGCCGAUUCUACAUUGACUUUAAGUAAAAUGAUUAAAUUUGGUUAUACUUUGCAUGACAAUUUUAUUACAUAAUAAUACCCAUUUCUUCCAAAGAUUAUUUACUUGAUCGACAUCCUGGUUUUUUCGGCUGACGAAAACUUCUUGAAAGCAAAGCAACAAACAAUUAGCAUGCAGACACAAACGGGCCUGCCGUGGCCUACUCCGCCUCCUCCAGCGACGCCUCCACCCGAAGCAGCACGAAGCCGACCGCAACGCCGACCAGCACGAGGCCAUUCAUUAUGGCCGCAAUCUUAAAUAUCUCCUCCGUGGCAUUGCAGGUGGAGGACAGCGCUCCGCCGCCCUGACUCCUCUUGCGCGGCGGCGAUCUCAGGGAGCUGACAACCAUGGCGAAGCACCGCGCGGUGCAUGUCGGGAACGGAGAGGUGUGUCUUAAGAGGAGAGUGGCAAAGGAUAAGGUGAGGGAGAGGAUGGAGGCUGCCAUAGAGCCCAUAUCCUCUUCUGGUGCAGGUGAGGGAAAAUUUGAAGUCUAGAAUAUAUAAUAAGUUGAAAUAUAGGACAGAUUAGCAAGUUAAUUUGAGAUCCUAAUUGAGUUCAGAUGUGCUUUCUAACUAAAACUGGAGUUGUAAAUCGCAUGUAAGUGAUAAAUAUUAUAAAUAAUAAAUAUAUAAUAGUCAGCAUAAAGUUAUGUAAGACAUCAUGAACAUGAAUCUUCCUCAUCUGUAUAAACAAUGCUUGCUUAAUCAUCUGUAUAAAACACCUAUCAACCACUUUGGUCAAUCUGUCCUCCUUUGUUUGAAUCACCAUGGAAACCCCCCAAGAAGCUAAGAAACUCCCAAGAAGCUGUCUUCCACCAACCAGUGAAGAUCAAAACAGAUGCAAAGUUUAUUGACAUUCACAACAUAUAUAUUCAUGUGUGUAUAUAUUAUGGUUUUACAUUGGACUAUUACUUACUAUCCUGUUCAUACACAACAAAAUAUUCUGUGCACUGGAGGAAAGAAAAGCACAAAUAUACUGAUUCUAGACUUGGUUACUAGGUAAUCAUCCAAUCUUUUUGAAUGAAAAAAAAGAUACUUUGCUGCAGUAAAGAUUUAUUUCCUCUUUGUCUCCUUUUUCUUGUUGAAUAAAUUCAGCCAUGGAUACUUAACAGAGUUACAAGACAUGUGUGCUAAACUUAUCAUAUUCUUUGACAAGGAAUUCAACUUCUCUGGAUCCAGUCUUUGUGGUGGCACAAUUUGACCUGCUACCAACAGAGUUGGUGUUGCCAACAUAAGAUCAUGGAAGCUGCAUCUUUGGUGGUCUUUCUCACUUUGUUCUCUUGUCAAUGGUUUCUCCUUCAUUAAGCAUUGUUCUAUGAGCCAAAACUGCAAGCAACACAGAUCUUUUGGGUUGUCUUUUAAAUACACAUACAUAUGUAAAGCUUGCCAUCAAUUCAAAGCUUACCUAAUGUUCUAAUGUUGCAUCUGCCUAGUUCAUUGACAAACCAUUUGGGCACCAAAAUGUCUUCCUGAAUGCUUUUGUUUAAAGUGGCAACAUCAUUUACUG